This 3255-nucleotide long non-coding RNA is filed under the name Panax ginseng (ginseng). RNAcentral describes it as "long non-coding RNA (PGIN_LNC005825)". The record is from RNAcentral. Lineage: Eukaryota; Viridiplantae; Streptophyta; Magnoliopsida; Apiales; Araliaceae.
ACCCAUAUAAAAAAGAAAUAUUUUUUCUAGCUUGCAACAAAAAAUGAAAUAAAACUAGAAGAUUAGCUAGUAAUCUUGAUGUUAUUGGAUUUUAACUAGUAUUUGUAGAAAAUUCAGUGACUUGAAGAUUUAAGAAUAUACCUUAUCAUCAAUGAAUUUGGCCCAAAAACGCGCAGUGGCCCUUUGGUGAGGAUCUUUGGGCAAAAGGGGUGUGCCUGAUUUCCAGGUCUCAUCAAUGUACUCAAGAAUGACUAGAGACUCGGCUAUUGGGUUUCCAUUGUGCAACAACACAGGAAUCUUCUUAUGGACAGGGUUGUAUUUGAGAAGCAGAGGACUCUUGUUAGAAAGAUCUUCUUCAACAUAUUCAUAUUCCACUCCCUUCAAUUUUAGAGCAAUUUCCACUCUAUUGCUGAAUGGACUUCGCCGUAAACCAAACAGCUUCACUACUUGAUCCGCCAUUGUUACAAUUUUUGCUUCUUAACACUAUGAGAGACUGUAUAUGUAUAUGUAUUUGUGCUCUGCAAGUUCAAUGUUGGUUUGUUUGUUUUUUUUAUCUCUUGGCUUGAGUUCUUUUUAUAUACACUUUUACUUGGCCAAUAAGCUACAGAAAACUAUAAUACUCCCUCCGUCCCAUGAUAAAAGUCAUUAUUGGAUAGUCCCAUGUUAAAUGUCCAUUUUCCUUUAAUAACCAAACUUUUACACAUUUUCCUAUUAUACCCGUAGCAUUAAAUAUCUCAUACUUUUCUUAUUCUAAUUCUCUCUCCAUAUUUAAUGACAUUAUUAUAGACAAUUUUGUCAUUUUAUUCAUCUUCUUAAUAUGCGUAAAAAGUCCACCAGAACUUUUAUCCUGGACGGAGGAAGUAUAUUUAUAUUCUAUAGUAGUUUUAAGUUGAAUUUUCUUUCGGACAUGGAGAUCAAGUUGAAUCAUAGCAUUAAUGAACUGUUUACUUGAAGAAGUAAGUGACCUAUGGGAUGACCUCAGGCUCAGCCACCUUUCAAAGAUUUUUUUUUCUUUUCUCUUAUAAUUGAAUAAAGGUUUUCUGGUUUUUUGGGUUUCUUCUUUUGUUUCUGUUCACUACUUUACUCGAAAGUCUUUGGUUUAUUGGACAUGUUAAUUUGGAGAAAAAAUUGAAUUGAACUGGAUUGAUCAAUACAGUGUCGACAUGCAGACAUAAGGUAAUUUUUUUGCGUGUCAAUACACUGUAUUGGUCAAUUGACCAACUUACCAUGAAAUUAACGUCAUAGCAACCGAAUUCGAAUUAAACAGAGAGAGUAAAUUAUUAUCAAGUAUCACACAUUCACAUAAUCAUAUUAGCCUUUACUUCUAGGUCAUCAAGUGGUGAUCCACAAAUUUCUUUUUUGCAUAAUAGUUGAUGAGGAGUUAUCAGUGUUACAUUUAAUAUUUUUUUCCUCAUUUCAUAUAUUUCGGCCUUUUAUUUGGAUGAUACUUAGUUCUUCUUACCUCAAUCUUGUUGGCUUCUUCUGUUCAUUUGAUUCAUAAGAACAGUUUGAAGAAAAACUGAAACAAUUGAUCCUCUCUUCUACUUUUUCUUUUCAAGUUUUAUUUUCAGCUGUUUAUUAUGAACUAUAUCAUGAACUAUAUUUAGUUUAAAUGACAUCAAUCCAUGAGAUAGUUUUUCAAUUCUUUCAGCAGAUGGACUAUCACAUGGACUAAAAUAUUAAAAGAUUAUAUUAAAUUUAAUAAAUUAUAGUCUACCAAUCAUUCUUCCACACUCCUAUCUAAAUAUACUAAAAAUUAUAGUCCACUACAAUCAGAUUCCUUGAUAUAGUCUUUUGGAUUCACCGAAAAAUCUUCUAGACUAUAUUUAGUCUAGCUGCUGAGUUCUGGACUAUAUUUAGUCUAGGGUUGAUUGAUGGAGCUCUGGCCUACUGGAGAGGGACUUAUGGAUGUUGAUGAAUGAACAAGCAGAAGCUUGGUGAAACUUCUGUGGUGCUUAAAGGGACUGAUUGACCUGGGAAAAAUCAGAGUCUUUCCUUAUUGAGUCCAUUUUAGACAAUUCAAUUGGAAUUUGAUAGAAACUUUGAAUUGGAAUAUACUGACAAACUCUUGUUUAAUUAAGUCAAAAACUACUAAAUGUAAACUUGUGAAAGUGAAAUUACUUCAACAAGUUCUUUAGCAUAACAUAGCCUACUACAUAGUACAUACUCGGAAACAAAAACAAGACUUUGGGUACCUAACUUAGAAUAACUUAUUGACCUUGUUUUUUUACCUCAAUUUAAACGGAAUCCAAGCUAAUGGAAACCCGUAUGACAAAAUGAAAUUAUUUCAAGAUAUUCUUGAACAUGACACAGUAGUAAAAACAUGAAACAUCGUAAAAAACUACAAACGAUAGCUUGUAAAAUUCAGUGUUCAAACUGCAGCAUAUGCAACACAACAUUAUCAGCCAUGUACUAAUCAAUUUGAAGCAUUUCAGGGUUAGAAAUGGGAUUGGAAAAAGGAGAGCAGAUCAGCUCUAGGGGGCAAAGUUUCCUUUAUUAUGCUGCAGUUCAAGUAAUCAUCAAUCCAUUCACAUAAUUUGGGAAACUUCUCUUUUGUCAACAAUUCGAACCCCAUUGCCUCUUGAAUAACUAGCCAAAAGCCUAUGACAUUAGCAGUAAUGUCAACCAGUCCAAUACUAUCUCCUCCAAAGAACUUCUUGUCUUUCAGUUCAUUUUCGAGUGUUUUUAGGAGCUCACUAGCUUCUUCAAUUGACUUCUCUUGUUCCUCGCCUUUGCUAGUCAUAACCUUCAUUAUGGCAGCCGAGCACUGAAAAAAAAACAAAUGAAUUAGUUUUAUUUUAUUUUAUUUUGUAAAAAAGGGGAAAUAAAACUGGGAGUGGUUAGCAUGAAGUUAAUUUUGGUCAAUUCACCAAUACAGUGUCUACACGCAGGCCGGGAGGUGAUCUCUCUCCUUGCGUGUUAGCACUGUAUUGGUCAAUUGACCAACUUACGAUGAAGUUAACUUCAUGGUAACCGGAUCCAAUAAAACUAGUAAACGAAAAGAUGGACAAAGAAUAUACCUUAUCUUCAAUGAAUUUGGCCCAGAAGCGGGCAGUGGCCCUUUGGUGAGGAUCUUUAGGCAGAAGGGGUGUGCCUGAUUUCCAGGUCUCAUCAAUGUACUCAAGUAUGACAAGAGAUUCGGCUAUCGGGUUCCCAUUGUGCAAGAGUAUAGGAACUUUUUUAUGAACAGGGUUGUACUUGAGAAGGGAAGGACUCUUGUUUUUGAGAUCUUCUUCUAUGUAUUCAUAUUCCACC